GGUAGUUCUUGGGUGACGCUCCCCAGAAUUGGGCACCCUCCUCUCUGGUUCUGGGUGGGUCACCUGAGAACCGCA
Molecule: non-coding RNA, 75 nt
Organism: Myotis lucifugus (little brown bat)
Lineage: Eukaryota; Metazoa; Chordata; Mammalia; Chiroptera; Vespertilionidae
Source: Rfam